RNAcentral lists this long non-coding RNA (255 nucleotides) under Brassica napus (rape). RNAcentral's name for it is "long non-coding RNA (BNAP_LNC025836)". The record is from RNAcentral. Lineage: Eukaryota; Viridiplantae; Streptophyta; Magnoliopsida; Brassicales; Brassicaceae.
GAUUUGAUGCUCUUCUGGAUAGUGGGCAAGUGAGCACACGGCACUGAUAGGAUGAGCUACUGCCUCAGCAUUGAAGUAUACUCUUGGUUUCCUGACUCUUGUACUCCUUCUGGGUUGUAUCUGCUCAGGUUCAGCUUCAUUUUCUCCACUUGGCUCACCCAUUUGUGUCUCAGCUUCUGAUAUCUCAUCUUGAUCAUGAGAUACUGAGCUCUCUUCAGGUUGAGUCUGCGCAGGCUGCUCAGUACUAUCACCCCC